Molecule: long non-coding RNA, 350 nt
Organism: Apus apus (common swift)
Lineage: Eukaryota; Metazoa; Chordata; Aves; Apodiformes; Apodidae
Exons: 3
Source: RefSeq, a predicted model, not a curated record
CUUGUUUUUGGGUUGUUCUGUUUGUCAGUUCAGCUCCUGCUUCUUCCAGGUCCUGCCCCUGAAGGCUCCAGUUGGUUUGCAGCACCAGGGCCUUGUGGCUCCAGCUCAUGUGCAGCUUCAGGUCCAGCUCAUGGAUGGUGCCAGCUGGUUUGUGAGUCUGUUUGGUUGCAGCUGCAGCUCAUGGGCAACUCUGGCUGGAGCUCGUUUGCACCUUCAGGCCCAGCAGGUUCCUGCUUCCAGUGUGUUUUGGGCUCCUGUCAGUUACAGAACCAGUCCAGUGUCAUGUCUCCCAGCUCCUCUCCAGUCCCAGCUGGUUUCAGGAGCUCCCACCAGACCCUCCUGCCUGCACC